AACAAAGAAGUAAGAUUUACUUUUAGUUUCGACCUAAUUUUAGAGAUAAUUCUCCUUGUUU
This 61-nucleotide transfer RNA is filed under the name Petalocephala chlorophana. RNAcentral's name for it is "tRNA-Arg". Lineage: Eukaryota; Metazoa; Arthropoda; Insecta; Hemiptera; Cicadellidae. The record is from RNAcentral.